Molecule: ribosomal RNA, 492 nt
Filed under: uncultured bacterium
Lineage: Bacteria
Description: partial 16S ribosomal RNA
Rfam family: Bacterial small subunit ribosomal RNA
Source: RNAcentral
AGUGAACGCUGGCGGUAGGCCUAACACAUGCAAGUCGAACGGCAGCACAGUAAGAGCUUGCUCUUACGGGUGGCGAGUGGCGGACGGGUGAGGAAUACAUCGGAAUCUACUUUUUCGUGGGGGAUAACGUAGGGAAACUUACGCCAAUACCGCAUACGACCUACGGGUGAAAGCAGGGGAUCUUCGGAUCUUGCGCGAUUGAAUGAGCCGAUGUCGGAUUAGCUAGUUGGCGGGGUAAAGGCCCACCAAGGCGACGAUCCGUAGCUGGUCUGAGAGGAUGAUCAGCCACACUGGAACUGAGACACGGUCCAGACUCCUACGGGAGGCAGCAGUGGGGAAUAUUGGACAAUGGGCGCAAGCCUGAUCCAGCCAUACCGCGUGGGUGAAGAAGGCCUUCGGGUUGUAAAGCCCUUUUGUUGGGAAAGAAAAGCAGCAGGUUAAUACCCCGCUGUUCUGACGGUACCCAAAGAAUAAGCACCGGCUAACUUCGUG